AGAGUUUGAUCAUGGCUCAGAUUGAACGCUGGCGGCAGGCCUAACACAUGCAAGUCGAGCGGUAGCACAGAGAGCUUGCUCUCGGGUGACGAGCGGCGGACGGGUGAGUAAUGUCUGGGAAACUGCCUGAUGGAGGGGGAUAACUACUGGAAACGGUAGCUAAUACCGCAUAACGUCGCAAGACCAAAGUGGGGGACCUUCGGGCCUCAUGCCAUCAGAUGUGCCCAGAUGGGAUUAGCUAGUAGGUGGGGUAACGGCUCACCUAGGCGACGAUCCCUAGCUGGUCUGAGAGGAUGACCAGCCACACUGGAACUGAGACACGGUCCAGACUCCUACGGGAGGCAGCAGUGGGGAAUAUUGCACAAUGGGCGCAAGCCUGAUGCAGCCAUGCCGCGUGUGUGAAGAAGGCCUUCGGGUUGUAAAGCACUUUCAGCGGGGAGGAAGGCGGUGAGGUUAAUAACCUCAUCGAUUGACGUUACCCGCAGAAGAAGCACCGGCUAACUCCGUGCCAGCAGCCGCGGUAAUACGGAGGGUGCAAGCGUUAAUCGGAAUUACUGGGCGUAAAGCGCACGCAGGCGGUCUGUCAAGUCGGAUGUGAAAUCCCCGGGCUUAACCUGGGAACUGCAUUCGAAACUGGCAGGCUAGAGUCUUGUAGAGGGGGGUAGAAUUCCAGGUGUAGCGGUGAAAUGCGUAGAGAUCUGGAGGAAUACCGGUGGCGAAGGCGGCCCCCUGGACAAAGACUGACGCUCAGGUGCGAAAGCGUGGGGAGCAAACAGGAUUAGAUACCCUGGUAGUCCACGCCGUAAACGAUGUCGAUUUGGAGGUUGUGCCCUUGAGGCGUGGCUUCCGGAGCUAACGCGUUAAAUCGACCGCCUGGGGAGUACGGCCGCAAGGUUAAAACUCAAAUGAAUUGACGGGGGCCCGCACAAGCGGUGGAGCAUGUGGUUUAAUUCGAUGCAACGCGAAGAACCUUACCUGGUCUUGACAUCCACAGAACUUUCCAGAGAUGGAUUGGUGCCUUCGGGAACUGUGAGACAGGUGCUGCAUGGCUGUCGUCAGCUCGUGUUGUGAAAUGUUGGGUUAAGUCCCGCAACGAGCGCAACCCUUAUCCUUUGUUGCCAGCGGUUCGGCCGGGAACUCAAAGGAGACUGCCAGUGAUAAACUGGAGGAAGGUGGGGAUGACGUCAAGUCAUCAUGGCCCUUACGACCAGGGCUACACACGUGCUACAAUGGCAUAUACAAAGAGAAGCGACCUCGCGAGAGCAAGCGGACCUCAUAAAGUAUGUCGUAGUCCGGAUUGGAGUCUGCAACUCGACUCCAUGAAGUCGGAAUCGCUAGUAAUCGUAGAUCAGAAUGCUACGGUGAAUACGUUCCCGGGCCUUGUACACACCGCCCGUCACACCAUGGGAGUGGGUUGCAAAAGAAGUAGGUAGCUUAACCUUCGGGAGGGCGCUUACCACUUUGUGAUUCAUGACUGGGGUGAAGUCGUAACAAGGUAACCGUAGGGGAACCUGCGGUUG
Molecule: ribosomal RNA, 1520 nt
Filed under: Klebsiella pneumoniae
Lineage: Bacteria; Pseudomonadati; Pseudomonadota; Gammaproteobacteria; Enterobacterales; Enterobacteriaceae
Description: bacterial SSU rRNA
Rfam family: Bacterial small subunit ribosomal RNA
Source: RNAcentral